This 260-nucleotide long non-coding RNA is filed under the name Ananas comosus (pineapple). Its description in RNAcentral is "long non-coding RNA (ACOM_LNC015145)". Lineage: Eukaryota; Viridiplantae; Streptophyta; Magnoliopsida; Poales; Bromeliaceae. The record is from RNAcentral.
CAACAGGUAAUACUAUGAAGUAUACUAUAUGUCCCAAAGUCCAACACAUAUCUAGUAUGUACUAUCAUGGCAAUUAAGGGUACUACAAUUCCCAAUGUCAACUGAAUCCAACUACGAUAUACAAUCAAGUAGUGUUUAUCUCUUAUUGUUUACUGUUCUAGUCAAUGUCCACAUGGCAUGUCACUACUUUAAGGUUCCAAUCUUGUAAGACCCGCCCGUAGGCUGUCUGGACUGAAGACCCAUCCGUAGGCUGUCUGGCC